This 951-nucleotide long non-coding RNA is filed under the name Fragaria vesca (wild strawberry). Its description in RNAcentral is "long non-coding RNA (FVES_LNC000943)". Lineage: Eukaryota; Viridiplantae; Streptophyta; Magnoliopsida; Rosales; Rosaceae. The record is from RNAcentral.
GCGACAUGAUAAGGGAGAAUGGGAAUAGAGAUAUCGAUUUAAGCUCUUUGGAGGGGAAACUCUGAAUCAACUUCCUCCAAGGCCUUUCCUUUUGGUUCUUGAUUAUGGAAUCAGUACCUAAGUACAUCAUCGCUGUCAACAUAGCAUUCGAAGUUGCCGAACAAUAAAGCUUCCACCUGUGAAUUCGAGUUGGAAUGGACUAGAAGCUGGAGAAUCGUCGUUUAUGGCGGAAGCUAAAGAUGUAAAGGUAAACUGACAACACUUGUGGUAAGUAAUUAUGAAUCUAGAGCAGUGAUUGUGAUCGUUAGUUAUAAGUAUUGUUGGAUUUUGAUGUAAUUGAGUUUGACGCUGAACUGAAAGGCCGGUUGUUGAUUGUUCACUUUGCUGAUCAAAAUGUUUUACAAUAUGGUAUUUGAGAAUUAGUUUGUUUAUUUGUUCAAUGAAAUUGAAGGUUAGGGUGUUACAGACACUUUCAAUCUCAGAUCUUAAAUCCGAGAUAGUUGUUCAACUUGAUUUGGCAUUGGGUCUGCUUGUUAGAAGUUCGUUUGCUAAUUUUUAAGUUUCUUACACCCUCGGUUACUCUUGAACUCCUGAUGUAUGAAUUAUCUCUCCUAGGUGAUCAUAUCAUCGGUGAGGUGAUCAUAUUAUCGGUAACGGUAACGGUUACGGUUACUAUCACAUUUACACUAUUAUCGUGUCAUGUGCAGUCAAGCGAUAUCGUUCGACAUCAAGUCAUAUCCUGAUUACUUCUCAUUAAUGCAUCUGGUUAUCUUUUAUUGUUUUUUUUUAACAUGCGUUUGUGCAUCUUGUUAUACUUUAUUUUUAUCUUCCGAUACAUUUGCGUUGUGUUAUGUACUUUUUAAUCAUUAUUUUAUUUAUUUUUGAUUAGGUAAACAUCUAAUAUUACAAACUUCAUUAUUAAUAUAGAUUUUCGUCCUUGGUAAAAAAAAA